UCAGGAUGAACGCUGGCGGCGUGCCUAACACAUGCAAGUCGAGCGAGAAACCUGUAAUUGACGCUCGGUUGAUUUACAGGCGGAAAGCGGCGGACGGGUGAGUAACGCGUAGGCAACCUGCCCCUUGCACAGGGAUAGCCUCGGGAAACCGGGAUUAAAACCUGAUGACACCGCACUUUCACAUGUAAGAGCGGUCAAAGAUUUAUCGGCAAGGGAUGGGCCUGCGUCUGAUUAGUUAGUUGGUGGGGUAACGGCUCACCAAGGCAAUGAUCAGUAGCCGACCUGAGAGGGUGAUCGGCCACAUUGGAACUGAGACACGGUCCAAACUCCUACGGGAGGCAGCAGUGGGGAAUAUUGCACAAUGGGCGAAAGCCCGAAUGCAGCAACGCCGCGUGAGCGAAGAAGGCGGAAUCGUCGUAAAGCUCUGUCCUUGGGGAAGAAGAACUGACGGUACCCUUGGAGGAAGCCCCGGCUAAAUACGUGCCAGCCGCCGC
Molecule: ribosomal RNA, 494 nt
Filed under: uncultured bacterium
Lineage: Bacteria
Description: bacterial SSU rRNA
Rfam family: Bacterial small subunit ribosomal RNA
Source: RNAcentral